UGGGGAAUAUUGGACAAUGGGCGCAAGCCUGAUCCAGCCAUGCCGCGUGAGUGAUGAAGGCCCUAGGGUUGUAAAGCUCUUUCACCGGUGAAGAUAAUGACGGUAACCGGAGAAGAAGCCCCGGCUAACUUCGUGCCAGCAGCCGCGGUAAUACGAAGGGGGCUAGCGUUGUUCGGAUUUACUGGGCGUAAAGCGCACGUAGGCGGACUAUUAAGUCAGGGGUGAAAUCCCGGGGCUCAACCCCGGAACUGCCUUUGAUACUGGUAGUCUUGAGUUCGAGAGAGGUGAGUGGAAUUCCGAGUGUAGAGGUGAAAUUCGUAGAUAUUCGGAGGAACACCAGUGGCGAAGGCGACUCACUGGCUCGAUACUGACGCUGAGGUGCGAAAGCGGGGGGAGCAAACAGG
RNAcentral lists this ribosomal RNA (404 nucleotides) under Actinomycetes bacterium. Its description in RNAcentral is "Actinobacteria bacterium partial 16S ribosomal RNA". It matches the Rfam family "Bacterial small subunit ribosomal RNA", at positions 355 to 776 of the family's 1533-position model. The record is from RNAcentral. Lineage: Bacteria; Bacillati; Actinomycetota; Actinomycetes.